This 119-nucleotide ribosomal RNA is filed under the name Elusimicrobiaceae bacterium. Lineage: Bacteria; Pseudomonadati; Elusimicrobiota; Elusimicrobia; Elusimicrobiales; Elusimicrobiaceae. The record is from RNAcentral.
AGUGAUAAUUAUUCCGACGAGGCCACACCCGUUCCCAUUCCGAACACGGCAGUUAAGCUCGUAAGGGUCGAUGGUAUUGGCGCCCAAUUCGGCGCUGAGAGAGUAGAUCGUUGUCGCUC